GCCCCAGUAGCUCAGGAGGAUAGAGCGCGGGAUUCCUAAUCCCGGAGCCGGGGGUUCGAAUCCUCCCUGGGGCA
Molecule: transfer RNA, 74 nt
Filed under: Desulfohalobium retbaense DSM 5692
Lineage: Bacteria; Pseudomonadati; Thermodesulfobacteriota; Desulfovibrionia; Desulfovibrionales; Desulfohalobiaceae
Rfam family: tRNA
About the family: Transfer RNA (tRNA) molecules are approximately 80 nucleotides in length. Their secondary structure includes four short double-helical elements and three loops (D, anti-codon, and T loops).
Source: Rfam by way of RNAcentral